This 455-nucleotide ribosomal RNA is filed under the name uncultured bacterium. RNAcentral's name for it is "bacterial SSU rRNA". It matches the Rfam family "Bacterial small subunit ribosomal RNA", at positions 28 to 496 of the family's 1533-position model. The record is from RNAcentral.
GACGAACGCUGGCGGCGCGCCUAACACAUGCAAGUCGAACGAGAGAGAGGGAGCUUGCUUCCUCAAUCGAGUGGCGAACGGGUGAGUAACGCGUGAGGAACCUGCCUCAAAGAGGGGGACAACAGUUGGAAACGACUGCUAAUACCGCAUAAGCCCACAGGUCGGCAUCGACCAGAGGGAAAAGGAGCAAUCCGCUUUGAGAUGGCCUCGCGUCCGAUUAGCUAGUUGGUGAGGUAAUGGCCCACCAAGGCAACGAUCGGUAGCCGGACUGAGAGGUUGAACGGCCACAUUGGGACUGAGACACGGCCCAGACUCCUACGGGAGGCAGCAGUGGGGAAUAUUGCACAAUGGGGGAAACCCUGAUGCAGCGACGCCGCGUGGAGGAAGAAGGUCUUCGGAUUGUAAACUCCUGUUGUUGAGGAAGAUAAUGACGGUACUCAACAAGGAAGUGACGG